CCCCUAGAUGUUCUGGGCCGCACGCGCGCUACACUGAACAGUUCAACAAGUCUUAACCUUGGCCGAUAGGUCUGGGUAAUCUUUGAACGCUGUUCGUGACUGGGAUAGACCUUUGCAAUUAUGGGUCUUCAACGAGGAAUUCCUAGUAAACGCAAGUCAUCAGCUUGCAUUGAUUACGUCCCUGUCCUUUGUACACACCGCCCGUCGCACCUACCGAUUGAAUGGUCCGGUGAAAUCUCGGGACGGCGGCUUGGUCGCUUGCGUCCGACUGCUGAAACUUGAUUAAACCAUAUCAUUUAGAGGAAGGUGAAGUCGUAACA
Molecule: ribosomal RNA, 320 nt
Filed under: uncultured eukaryote
Lineage: Eukaryota
Description: partial 18S ribosomal RNA
Rfam family: Eukaryotic small subunit ribosomal RNA
Source: RNAcentral